AGAGUUUGAUCAUGGCUCAGGAUGAACGCUAGCGGCAGGCUUAAUACAUGCAAGUCGAGGGGCAGCACAGGUAGCAAUACUGGGUGGCGACCGGCAAACGGGUGCGGAACACGUACGCAACCUUCCUUUAAGCGGGGAAUAGCCCAGGGAAACUUGGAUUAAUACCCCAUAAGACAGUGGUGUGGCAUCACACAGCUGUUAAAGCUCCGGCACUUAAAGAUGGGCGUGCGACUGAUUAGGUAGUUGGCGGGGUAACGGCCCACCAAGCCAACGAUCAGUAACUGGUGUGAGAGCACGACCAGUCACACGGGCACUGAGACACGGGCCCGACUCCUACGGGAGGCAGCAGUAAGGAAUAUUGGUCAAUGGACGCAAGUCUGAACCAGCCAUGCCGCGUGGAGGAUGAAGGCCCUCUGGGUUGUAAACUUCUUUUAUUGGGGAAGAAACCCAUCUUUUCUAAGGUGGUUGACGGUACCCGAUGAAUAAGCACCGGCUAACUCCGUGCCAGCAGCCGCGGUAAUACGGAGGGUGCAAGCGUUAUCCGGAUUCACUGGGUUUAAAGGGUGCGUAGGUGGGCAGGUAAGUCAGUGGUGAAAUCUCUGGGCUUAACCCAGAAACUGCCGUUGAUACUAUCUGUCUUGAAUGUAGUGGAGGUGAGCGGAAUAUGUCAUGUAGCGGUGAAAUGCUUAGAUAUGACAUAGAACAUCUAUUGCGAAGGCAGCUCGCUACACUAUAAUUGACACUGAGGCACGAAAGCGUGGGGAUCAAACAGGAUUAGAUACCCCAGUAGUCC
This 793-nucleotide ribosomal RNA is filed under the name uncultured bacterium. Its description in RNAcentral is "bacterial SSU rRNA". It matches the Rfam family "Bacterial small subunit ribosomal RNA", at positions 8 to 796 of the family's 1533-position model. The record is from RNAcentral.